RNAcentral lists this ribosomal RNA (484 nucleotides) under uncultured bacterium. Its description in RNAcentral is "partial 16S ribosomal RNA". It matches the Rfam family "Bacterial small subunit ribosomal RNA", at positions 30 to 507 of the family's 1533-position model. The record is from RNAcentral.
AUUGAACGCUGGCGGCAGGCCUAACACAUGCAAGUCGAGCGGAUGAAGGGAGCUUGCUCCUGGAUUCAGCGGCGGACGGGUGAGUAAUGCCUAGGAAUCUGCCUUGUAUUGGGGGAUAACGUCCGUAAACGGGCGCUAAUACCGCAUACGUCCUGAUGGAGAAAGUGGGGGAUCUUCGGACCUCACGCUAUCAGAUGAGCCUAGGUCGGAUUAGCUAGUUGGUGGGGUAAAGGCCUACCAAGCCGACGAUCCGUAACUGGUCUGAGAGGAUGAUCGGUCACACUGGAACUGGGACACGGUCCAGACUCCUACGGGAGGCAGCAGUGGGGAAUAUUGGACAAUGGGCGAAAGCCUGAUCCAGCCAUGCCGCGUGUGUGAAGAAGGUCUUCGGAUUGUAAAGCACGUUAAGUGGGGAGGAAGGGCAGUAAGUUAAUACGUUGCUGUUUUGACGUUACCAACAGAAUAAGCACCGGCUAACUUCGUG